CAACCCUCAAGCUUGGCUUGGUAUUGGGUAUCACCUAAUUAGGUGCACCUUAAAAUCAGUGGCGGUGCCAUCUAGCUUCAAGUGUAGUAAAUUUCUCACUUUGGAGGUUUAGGUGUGUGUUUGCCAUCAACACUCUAUUCUUCAAU
RNAcentral lists this unclassified non-coding RNA (146 nucleotides) under uncultured fungus. Its description in RNAcentral is "sequence contains ITS2". The record is from RNAcentral. Lineage: Eukaryota; Fungi.